RNAcentral lists this ribosomal RNA (518 nucleotides) under uncultured archaeon. RNAcentral describes it as "bacterial SSU rRNA". It matches the Rfam family "Archaeal small subunit ribosomal RNA", at positions 479 to 997 of the family's 1478-position model. The record is from RNAcentral.
GCAGCCCGAGUGGUGGUCGAGUUUAUCGAGUCUAAAACGUCGUAGCCGGUCUGAUAAAUCCUUGGGUAAAUCGGGAAGCUUAACUUUCCGAAUUCCGAGGAGACUGUCAGGCUUGGGAUCGGGAGAGGUAUGAGGUACUUCAGGGGUAGGGGGUAAAAUCCUGUAAUCCUUGGAGGACCACCGGUGGCGAAGGCGUCAUACUAGAACGAAUCCGACGGUGAGGGACGAAGCCCUAGGUCGCAAACGGGAUUAGAUACCCCGGUAGUCUAGGGUGUAAACGCUGCAGACUUGGUGUUGGGGGCCCUUCGGGGGCAUUCAGUGCCGGAGAGAAGUUGUUAAGUCUGCUACUUGGGGAGUACGUCCGCAAGGAUGAAACUUAAAGGAAUUGGCGGGGGAGCACCGCAACGGGAGGAGCGUGCGGUUUAAUUGGAUUCAACACCGGAAAACUCACCAAGGGAGACCAUCACAUGAAAGCCAGGCUAAUGACUUUGCUUGAUUCUUGGAGGGGAGGUGCAUGG